Molecule: ribosomal RNA, 716 nt
Filed under: uncultured bacterium
Lineage: Bacteria
Description: bacterial SSU rRNA
Rfam family: Bacterial small subunit ribosomal RNA
Source: RNAcentral
CAUUCAAUUCGAACGGAGUGGCGGACGGGUGAGUAACGCGUGAGCAACCUGCCUAUUUGAGCGGAAUAACACCCGGAAACAGGUGCUAAUACCGCAUGCAAAUAGAUGGGCUCGCGUCUGAUUAGCUGGUUGGUGAGGUAACGGCUCACCAAGGCGACGAUCAGUAGCCGGUCUGAGAGGAUGAAUGGCCACACUGGAACUGAGACACGGUCCAGACUCCUACGGGAGGCAGCAGUGGGGAAUCUUCCGCAAUGGGCGAAAGCCUGACGGAGCAACGCCGCGUGAGUGAUGACGGCCUUCGGGUUGUAAAGCUCUGUGAUCGGGGACGCGGUACCCGAAUAGCAAGCCACGGCUAACUACGUGCCAGCAGCCGCGGUAAUACGUAGGUGGCAAGCGUUGUCCGGAAUUAUUGGGCGUAAAGCGCGCGCAGGCGGUUCUUAAGUCCAUCUUAAAAGUGCGGGGCUUAACCCCGUGAUGGGAUGGAAACUGAGAGCUGGAGUAUCGGAGAGGAAAGUGGAAUUCCUAGUGUAGCGGUGAAAUGCGUAGAUAUUAGGAGGAACACCAGUGGCGAAGGCGGAUUGCUGGACGACAACUGACGGUGAGGCGCGAAAGCGUGGGGAGCAAACAGGAUUAGAUACCCUGGUAGUCCACGCUGUAAACGAUGAAUACUAGGUGUGCGGCGUGCCGCAGCUAACGCAAUAAGUAUUCCACCUGGG